RNAcentral lists this ribosomal RNA (600 nucleotides) under uncultured bacterium. Its description in RNAcentral is "bacterial SSU rRNA". It matches the Rfam family "Bacterial small subunit ribosomal RNA", at positions 737 to 1337 of the family's 1533-position model. The record is from RNAcentral.
CUACUGACGCUCAUGCACGAAAGCGUGGGUAUCGAACAGGAUUAGAUACCCUGGUAGUCCACGCGGUAAACGAUGAUAACUAGUUAUCCGGCCAGAUUGAUGGUUGGGUGACCGAGCGAAAGCGUUAAGUUAUCCACCUGGGGAGUACGCCGGCAACGGUGAAACUCAAAGGAAUUGACGGGGGCCCGCACAAGCGGAGGAACAUGUGGUUUAAUUCGAUGAUACGCGAGGAACCUUACCCGGGCUCAAACGCAAGGCGCUACACCCUGAAAGGGGUGGUUCUUCGGACGUCUUGCGAGGUGCUGCAUGGUUGUCGUCAGCUCGUGCCGUGAGGUGUCGGCUUAAGUGCCAUAACGAGCGCAACCCCCAUCUUCAGUUGCCAUCGGGUCGAGCCGGGCACUCUGGAGAGACUGCCGGCGCAAGCUGUGAGGAAGGCGGGGAUGACGUCAAAUCAGCACGGCCCUUACGUCCGGGGCGACACACGUGUUACAAUGGCGGGGUGACAGCGGGAAGCCAGGCGGCGACGCCGAGCCGAUCCCGAAAACCCGUCUCAGUUCGGAUCGGAGUCUGCAACCCGACUCCGUGAAGCUGGAUUCGCUA